GGGCCCUUAGCUCAGCUGGUUAGAGCAGUCCGCUCAUAACGGAUUGGUCGGGGGUUCAAGUCCCUCAGGGCCUACCA
RNAcentral lists this transfer RNA (77 nucleotides) under Oligoflexia bacterium. RNAcentral describes it as "tRNA-Ile". It matches the Rfam family "tRNA". Rfam says of the family: Transfer RNA (tRNA) molecules are approximately 80 nucleotides in length. Their secondary structure includes four short double-helical elements and three loops (D, anti-codon, and T loops). Further hydrogen bonds mediate the characteristic L-shaped molecular structure. tRNAs have two regions of fundamental functional importance: the anti-codon, which is responsible for specific mRNA codon recognition, and the 3' end, to which the tRNAs corresponding amino acid is attached (by aminoacyl-tRNA synthetases). tRNAs cope with the degeneracy of the genetic code in two manners: having more than one tRNA (with a specific anti-codon) for a particular amino acid; and 'wobble' base-pairing, i.e. permitting non-standard base-pairing at the 3rd anti-codon position. Lineage: Bacteria; Pseudomonadati; Bdellovibrionota; Oligoflexia. The record is from RNAcentral.